UACGGAGGGUGCAAGCGUUAUCCGGAUUCACUGGGUUUAAAGGGUGCGUAGGCGGGUUGGUAAGUCAGUGGUGAAAUCUUCAAGCUUAACUUGGGAACUGCCGUUGAUACUAUCAAUCUUGAAUGUUGUGGAGGUAAGCGGAAUAUGUCAUGUAGCGGUGAAAUGCUUAGAUAAUGACAUUAGAACACCGAUAGCGAAGGCAGCUUGCUACACAAAAAUGACGAC
RNAcentral lists this ribosomal RNA (225 nucleotides) under uncultured bacterium. RNAcentral describes it as "partial 16S ribosomal RNA". It matches the Rfam family "Bacterial small subunit ribosomal RNA", at positions 524 to 747 of the family's 1533-position model. The record is from RNAcentral.